AUCAUUAGCGCAUUUUGUUGCCCAUCAUUUAAUUGUUUUUUCCCCUAGUUUAGGGCGGUCAUUGAUUACCAGCAGAAGAUUUGAGUUUUGUGGUUGUCGAGUUGUGUGUCCGCUGUAGCAGCUUGUAUUGUGAUUUGUUCGUCGUGUUGAGGUUAGCGGCGUUCUUGGGCGUGUGCGGGAUCAACCCUGUGUUUUAUUAUUGUAUUAAAGUUGAUUAUACGGAUCCCGGCACCUCAAGGCGACAUAACCUCAAGGGUAUGUGGUGCACCAUUAAAUUAUUAUUGUAGACCGACGGGUCUUGGUUUAGUUACCUAUUAUUAUUAUUAUUAUUACCAGCAACUUGACUGUGAUUGUAACUAUUGUUAAUUAUUAUAAAUUAUUAUUAAUGUAUUUGGACCAAAUGGUCACAUAUUUUAUUAUAACACGUUGAUGCAUAUGUCUACCAACAAUAUUAUUAUUACUAUUAAUAUACUUUAACCAAAAACAGUUGUCUCUUAUAUUUUAGUACAUUGGGACGGUUGCAUCAAGUUGCAAUCCUCCCGGCCGUUAAGGCUCAUUAAUUUAUUUAACUAUUAAAGCUGAAGGCGAGCCAGCAGUGGUUGAAUCAGAUUCUUCAGAUAAUUACAGUACUGAAAACAGUGUAAGACGGACCAAAUCAAUAGAAUGAUCGAUCUUGUGAAGAACAAAUCGUUGAUCUGCUUGAAGAAAAUCUAGAUAGUAAUGCCACUGAUAAAGAUUAUGAAAAGACUGAAGAUAUAUUGACUGAUAUUCAAUCCUGUCAAAGUCUUGGCGAUUCUUCAAUAUUAACUGGUGUACGCUGUGUUGCUCAUAUGCUACAAUUGGCUGUGAUUGACAGCCUCAAAGAUACUGGCAUUGAGAAAUUGCUCAACAAAGUCCGUAUUUUGGUGAGGGAACUUCGGAAUUAAACCUACAUUUAUUUAAUUAAAAAAGAAAAUUUUAAGUGCCCUAUUCUUGACUGUCUCACAUGUUGGCAUUCAACCUUUGACAUGUUAAAGAGUAUGAAACAUUUGAAAGAAUUCAUUCAAAACAAGGCAAACAACAAUUCAGUAUUAAAAAAAGUAUGUUUGAAUAAUACGGAAUGGAAACAAAUUGACAUUAUUUCCCAAGCACUUUUACCGACGAAAAUAUAUACAAAAAAAUUUCAGAAUGAGCAAUUAACAAUGACAGAUUUUUAUGGAUCUUGGAUUUUAUGUAAAAUUGAAACUGAAUAACUAAAUAGUUCAUUUUCCAAAGUUAUACUACAGUGUUUAAAAAACAGAGAGAAAAAUAUUAUGAAAAAAUAAAGUUUUAUUAUCAGCAAUAUUUCUAGAUCCUCGUUAUAAAAUAAUACUUACCGAUGAUCAAUGCAAAGAUGCAAUUAACCAUUUGAUUGCAAUUUGGCUCCAUUUAAAAAAAAUAGAUGAAAAAAGUAUUGAUUUAACAAGUAUAAAUACAGUAAAUCAAGAAGCUGAUGAUGUUAUGAUGAUGAUGUUAUGGAUGGGCUUGAGAAUGUCCUUAAAGGAAAAGAAGUAAAUGUUGAAGAUUCAAACUCAUCCAACAGUUCUCAAAUAUCAGUGCACACUAAAAUUGAAACAAUUCUGAAAACUUAUUAUAUCAAUCAAAUCAGAUUGAAUCACAAAAUAAAUAUUUUAAAGUUUUGGAAAUCAAUGGAUACAACAUACCCAAAAAUAUAAUAUAUAUUAGCCAAAAUAGUAUUCUCAGUUCCGCCAACACAGGUUAGCGUUGAGCGUUUAUUCUCGGGAUUAAAAUUUAUUUUGUCCCCUUAUAGAAGCAAAUAAAUUCUAAAAAUUUAGAAGACCAGUUACUAGUGCGUACCAACAGAUUGUUUGAUAAAAAAGAUUGUAAAAUGAACAUUGAAGAAGAUGAAAUUAUAAAAAACAGAAUACCUGUCGGCUGUCACUAUGGGCCAAGGAGAGGCAUGCCAUACUACAGAUGUACAUCCAACAUCUUCAAAACGCAAAAAAUAAAAUAAAAUAUAGUUUUGUUACAUAAAAUAAUGUAUGUAUAUUAUGUUUACUUAAUAAUUAAUAUAUUUUUAAGAAAGUACUGGCUGUCAUAUAGUAUGCGGUCUACCGGCAAACGCGUUCUACCGGUCAGUGUCGGAUGCGGUCUACCGGCGACCGGCCAGUUUUUACACAGGCCUAAGUCUAAUUAAGUUUAAAAGGUUUACCACAAAAUCGAUUUUGGUUUUUUAACACAUUUUUUUUAAAAUUAUAAUAUAUAGGUAAAUAUUUUUAAGAUUGGUAUACUAUUAUUUUUUAAGGGGGCUUUGAGUGAUUUUGAGGGGACUAAGCCCCCAAGCUCCCCCUAUUAGCACUACUGGUGUAACUCUAAAACAAAUGAACAUGACAUUUUUACUGGUUGUUUAUAUUUGCAUUUUCUAUACACAAUAUUAUUUUCAAAAUAUUUUGAUCUGUU
This 2439-nucleotide unclassified non-coding RNA is filed under the name Acyrthosiphon pisum (pea aphid). Its description in RNAcentral is "uncharacterized LOC100571965, transcript variant X2". Lineage: Eukaryota; Metazoa; Arthropoda; Insecta; Hemiptera; Aphididae. The record is from RNAcentral.